This 71-nucleotide transfer RNA is filed under the name Marmota monax (woodchuck). Its description in RNAcentral is "tRNA.Ala". It matches the Rfam family "tRNA". From Rfam's summary of the family: Transfer RNA (tRNA) molecules are approximately 80 nucleotides in length. Their secondary structure includes four short double-helical elements and three loops (D, anti-codon, and T loops). The record is from RNAcentral. Lineage: Eukaryota; Metazoa; Chordata; Mammalia; Rodentia; Sciuridae.
GAGGUUGUGGCUCAGUGGUAGAGUGCUCGCCUAGCAUGUGUGAGGCCCUGGGUUCAAUCCUCAGCACCACA